Molecule: transfer RNA, 72 nt
Filed under: Carboxydothermus hydrogenoformans Z-2901
Lineage: Bacteria; Bacillati; Bacillota; Clostridia; Thermoanaerobacterales; Thermoanaerobacteraceae
Rfam family: tRNA
About the family: Transfer RNA (tRNA) molecules are approximately 80 nucleotides in length.
Source: Rfam by way of RNAcentral
GGCCCCAUGGUCAAGUGGUUAAGACACCGCCCUUUCAAGGCGGUAACCCGGGUUCGAAUCCCGGUGGGGUCA